AUCGCUGCUCAAGAUGGCCACCGCCCCACCGCCCGCCAACAACGAACAACGACGCGGUCGUUGCGUUGCGGUCAGUCGGUCGCUGCGCGCAAUCGAAAAAAAACAUCGCGGAGUGUUUCGGGUUUAUGGUCGUUGGCUUACAUGGUCUGAUAGUCCGGUCCCGGGUCCCGGUCGGACAGAGUCGUCUGUACAGGCAAGGACGGAACCCAGAUGACGACAAAACUAACCAGCUUCUAUAAGUGCUAUGUGCACGCGUGAGGGAGUGAGAAAUGAGAGAGAUGAAGUGUCGACGGCGCCAACAGGUUCACUUCGCGUGUGCACACAAUGAAUCGCGGACGCGGGGGCCGCCUUGUCGUCGCCCCACAAAAAGCCGUCAAACUGGUAAAGAGCCGCGAGCAAACUCCACGAGAAAGUACUAGCUCAAGUGAACAAAAAACGAGAGAGAGAGGGAAAGGGAGAUGGGAAAUCUGGUAUGCAGUGACCACCGCAACCUAUGGGAAGUACCAAAAGAGAGUUUUAGAUAUUACCUAGCUUAUUCCAUUCACGAAACUUCCAUACAAGUCCUCUCGUCUUUACUGAAUGAAUUUAUACGACAACUAUGAAUAGAAUUUGGGAGCAGAGGAAAUAAUGUUUCAUAAUUAUUGUGUUAGUAAGAUUACGAGUUCAAUGUUAUGACGCCGUAUGAUAUUUUCCUACAUAAAUAUUCAUCUUUGACAUUAUUUUGUUUCUCAAGUUUUUUCAUGUGAUGUAAAAAACGAUAAAAGUAGCAACCAUAAGAUUUUUCAUUCGUUAGAGUUUCUGCUUCAUCGACUGAAUUGAUGAUUUCUUGAAUCAAUAUCCAAAUCCUAAACUAUAACAGCCCUAAAAUUAAUAUUGUUCGAAGUAAUAUUACUCUUGAUUACAGAAACAUCAGCGAGGACAGAGAUUCAGGCUUGCGCCAAAACAGUUUAAAAAUUGCUUGAUUCCCGGUGACAAUUUUUUUCAUUUGCUAUCCGAUGAUAUUCAUACCCUAUUUAAUGUAAUUGGGAUUUUACCAGAAUUUUCUUGUGAAAGAAAUAAAGUCCUGGAUGUUAAGACUCCUGGCCAGCACCGAACAAAUAUCUUUCUUUCGCUCUCUCGUUCCUCCUCAAACAAGGUAAUCUAGACGAGAUGAAACGAGAGCUUUACUGUACACAAGCCUAAGUACAUUGGGAAUAUGGUUGGUAAUGUGUAAGAUAAGCACGCAGGUACACUAUGUGUGAUGUCCGAAGUAUCGAUCUUUGAUCGCGACCUCUCGAUCGCGCGACCCAAGCCAGGAUCGCUUUGAUGUCAUGACCUUAGCCAGUAUUAUUACCGCCAUAAAUCAUCCAUGUUGAAUUGCACUGUGGGGCUCGCGUGAUGAGAGCAUUACCCGAUGAGAGAGCGAGAGAGAGGGAGAAAGAUAGGAAGGAAGAGAGGGCGAGAAGAAGAGGGAAGCUUUCUUGAGAGACCACGUCGAAUAAUCCACCAGGUUGAAUCUGCGCAGGAUAUCUUCUUGCCGGGAUGUAAUACGCCAAGCGAAUCAUCGGGACUCCGGUGAAAGUCGACGAAACGCGCGGUUCUCGUUCUUUCUCCGUCUCUUUCGAGAGUUCACGAGCGAAAAGGCGCGAUAUAUCCUCGUUUCCAGGCUGGUUCUCUCGCAACGAGAUAUAUCUCACGAGGACCUCUCUCCCUCGCGUCGAGAUCUCUCGACACCCGGUUUUGUUUCGUAUUUGUGUACCGAUGGUGAUCACAAUUUACUGUGUAGUACGUCGCACGCGAGAAAUCAAAUUAAUUCCCCGCCCACCGUUACUCGUUCGUCGGGGCAAUCAACACGAUUACCGUAAUCGAGGAACAGGCCAGGCACUCUCGCGUACAAAUGCAUCCAGCAGCAGGAGAGACCCUGGCGCCCAUGGUUUCCCAUUUGACGCUCGAGCUGCCCACGCGGGACCGCGGUCCCUCAAUGUGGGACGUAAUAGUAUGCACUUCCCUCGUCUGCAUAUACCUUUUUUAUUGGGUGUAAGAUGAGUUCAAGGAUGUAUAAAAGUCCUUUCGCAUCAUCCUGACCUGUGGUGGGUAUGCCGCAUCCACUUUAUGAGAAUUCCAUCAGGAAUAGUUUUCCUCGGAAUAUCCACGUGAAAGAGUAGAAAAGUGAAACGGGAAGAGAGAGCGUGGAACGACGAUGACAGUACUGGCAAACCCUCAUAUCGUUUCUAUAUCCCACGGGUAACAGCGGGUUCACUCGAGCGUCCUGGGACAAGCGACCUCGACGGGUCUCUGGGAUAUGAUGUUCCUUCACCCUUUGUACGGAGAGCGGGUCAUUGGACGACCGGAUUAGCUGAACCGAGGUGACCGUGCCAAACGAGACCGGAAAAACAAUCUCACAAAUUAUGAGAUCCAACUGUAAAUACUUUCAUGCGGUAAGGAUAGUAAACGAAGGAAAAGAAUCAAUUUUCCUUUUCUCCUUGGCCUCCGAAAUGUCAAUUUUAUUCGAUAUUUAUUGUCGCUAUGAGCUGAGAUUGACGAAAACUGAUGGUCUGAAAAUUGAGGAUGCAGAAAAGCUGCAGUAACAUCGAGAUAUUUGAUUGAUGCGAGUGGAAUUCAGUAACGCAACGCUCGAAUCAAUGUCACGGCGCAGGGUUUACAACUCUUGGAGAAAAACUGCAUCCACGUGAACGACAGCACUGCGAUUGUACGCUACGGUUGGCUCACAAAUGUCCUUGGGGACGAGAAAACCUUCCGCCAUCGUGAAGAAGAUGUAGAUCGAUUGUCAACGUCAGAGCUUUCCUUUCUUUUCAGAUUCUCUACGUCUAUGCGAUUCUCAGAUCCCCAUUUCUUCCAUUUGCCUGCUCUCUCGCCCUUUUUUAUCUCCCUUUUACUCACUUUACUUCAGACUUACUUCCUGCCUUUCCCGCUAAACAAUUAUCCCUGCUAUCGUGGCGCGCAAGUUCGCAAGGUGCAAUCGACGAGGAAUAAGACCGGCCAAUUACCAUCUACGGCCCCGCACCAUCUGACCGUACUCCAAGCACCCGUAAUACAACUCUGCGGAUACAAAACUUUGUUCGUUCGCGCACCCGCGCGAAGAAUCGCAAUUGGAUUCACACUAGGCUACGUGUAUUUCGCGUUAAGCAAACUGCACACGCGGGGGCCUAGAGCGGUAGCAAACGGCUUGUAUAUGUUCACCGCAAGACGUGCGUGUAUAUAAUCGGGAGUUGGAAAUCGUAGUCUGUUGCUUUAUCGAUAACACCAUCCCCGGCAAUGAA
Molecule: long non-coding RNA, 3260 nt
Filed under: Venturia canescens
Lineage: Eukaryota; Metazoa; Arthropoda; Insecta; Hymenoptera; Ichneumonidae
Description: uncharacterized LOC122406497, transcript variant X5
Source: RNAcentral